RNAcentral lists this ribosomal RNA (241 nucleotides) under uncultured bacterium. Its description in RNAcentral is "partial 16S ribosomal RNA". It matches the Rfam family "Bacterial small subunit ribosomal RNA", at positions 117 to 353 of the family's 1533-position model. The record is from RNAcentral.
GUGGGUAACCUGCCUUAUAGUGGGGGAUAGCCUUUCGAAAGGAAGAUUAAUACCGCAUAAGAUUGUAGUAUCGCAUGAUAUAGCAAUUAAAGGAGCAAUUCGCUAUAAGAUGGACCCGCGUCGCAUUAGCUAGUUGGUGAGGUAAUGGCUCACCAAGGCGACGAUGCGUAGCCGACCUGAGAGGGUGAUCGGCCACCAUUGGGACUGAGACACGGCCCAGACUCCUACGGGAGGCAGCAUG